This 424-nucleotide ribosomal RNA is filed under the name uncultured Clostridium sp. RNAcentral describes it as "bacterial SSU rRNA". It matches the Rfam family "Bacterial small subunit ribosomal RNA", at positions 338 to 754 of the family's 1533-position model. Lineage: Bacteria; Bacillati; Bacillota; Clostridia; Eubacteriales; Clostridiaceae. The record is from RNAcentral.
CCUACGGGAGGCAGCAGUGGGGAAUCUUCCGCAAUGGACGAAAGUCUGACGGAGCAACGCCGCGUGAACGAUGACGGCCUUCGGGUUGUAAAGUUCUGUUAUACGGGACGAAUGGUACGACGGUCAAUACCCGUCGUAAGUGACGGUACUGUAAGAGAAAGCCACGGCUAACUACGUGCCAGCAGCCGCGGUAAUACGUAGGUGGCGAGCGUUGUCCGGAAUUAUUGGGCGUAAAGAGCAUGUAGGCGGUUUUUUAAGUCUGGAGUGAAAAUGCGGGGCUCAACCCCGUGAGGGGACCGAAACUGCGAUGCUAGAGUAUCGGAGAGGAAAGCGGAAUUCCUAGUGUAGCGGUGAAAUGCGUAGAUAUUAGGAGGAACACCAGUGGCGAAAGCGGCUUUCUGGACGACAACUGACGCUGAGGCGC